This 466-nucleotide ribosomal RNA is filed under the name uncultured bacterium. RNAcentral's name for it is "bacterial SSU rRNA". It matches the Rfam family "Bacterial small subunit ribosomal RNA", at positions 338 to 795 of the family's 1533-position model. The record is from RNAcentral.
CCUACGGGAUGCACCAGUGGGGAAUAUUGGACAAUGGGGGGAACCCUGAUCCAGCCAUGCCGCGUGUGUGAAGAAGGCCUUUUGGUUGUAAAGCACUUUAAGCGAGGAGGAGGCUACCUAGAUUAAUACUUUAGGAUAGUGGACGCUACUCGCAGAAUAAGCACCGGCUAACUCUGUGCCAGCAGCCGCGGUAAUACAGAGGGUGCGAGCGUUGAUCGGAUUUACUGGGCGUAAAGCGUGCGUAGGCGGCCAAUUAAGUCAAAUGUGAAAUCCCCGAGCUUAACUUGGGAAUUGCAUUCGAUACUGGUUGGCUAGAGUAUGGGAGAGGAUGGUAGAAUUCCAGGUGUAGCGGUGAAAUGCGUAGAGAUCUGGAGGAAUACCGAUGGCGAAGGCAGCCAUCUGGCCUAAUACUGACGCUGAGGUACGAAAGCAUGGGGAGCAAACAGGAUUAGAUACCCGUGUAGUC